UGGCGGACGGGUGAGUAAUGUCUGGUAAACUGCCCGAUGGAGGGGGAUAACUACUGGAAACGGUAGCUAAUACCGCAUAACGUCGCAAGACCAAAGAGGGGGACCUUCGGGCCUCUUGCCAUCGGAUGUGCCCAGAUGGGAUUAGCUAGUAGGUGGGGUAACGGCUCACCUAGGCGACGAUCCCUAGCUGGUCUGAGAGGAUGACCAGCCACACUGGAACUGAGACACGGUCCAG
Molecule: ribosomal RNA, 235 nt
Filed under: uncultured bacterium
Lineage: Bacteria
Description: partial 16S ribosomal RNA
Rfam family: Bacterial small subunit ribosomal RNA
Source: RNAcentral